AAAAAAGGUAAGCUACUAAGAGCGAAUGGUGGAUGCCUUGACUGGUAAAGGCGAUGAAGGACGUACUAGACUGCGAUAAGCUACGGGGAGCUGUCAAGAAGCUUUGAUCCGUAGAUUUCCGAAUGGGGCAACCCAAUGUAUAGAGAUAUACAUUACCUAUAUAGGAGCGAACGAGGGGAAUUGAAACAUCUUAGUACCCUCAGGAAAAGAAAUCAAUAGAGAUUGCGUCAGUAGCGGCGAGCGAAAGCGCAAGAGGGCAAACCCAGUGCUUGCACUGGGGGUUGUAGGACUGCAAUGUGCAAGAGGUGAGUUUAGCAGAACAUUCUGGAAAGUAUAGCCAUAGAGGGUGAUAGUCCCGUAUGCGAAAAACAAACCUUAGCUAGCAGUAUCCUGAGUAGGGCGGGACACGAGAAAUCCUGUCUGAAGCUGGGUCGACCACGAUCCAACCCUAAAUACUAAUACCAGAUCGAUAGUGCACAAGUACCGUGAGGGAAAGGUGAAAAGAACUGAGGUGAUCAGAGUGAAAUAGAACCUGAAACCAUUUGCUUACAAUCAUUCAGAGCCCUAUGUAGCAAUACAGGGUGAUGGACUGCCUUUUGCAUAAUGAGCCUGCGAGUUGUGGUGUCUGGCAAGGUUAAGCAAACGCGAAGCCGUAGCGAAAGCGAGUCUGAAUAGGGCGCUUAGUCAGAUGCUGCAGACCCGAAACGAAGUGAUCUAUCCAUGAGCAAGUUGAAGCUAGUGUAAGAACUAGUGGAGGACUGAACCCAUAGGCGUUGAAAAGCCCCGGGAUGACUUGUGGAUAGGGGUGAAAGGCCAAUCAAACUUCGUGAUAGCUGGUUCUCUCCGAAAUAUAUUUAGGUAUAGCGUUGUGUCGUAAUAUAAGGGGGUAGAGCACUGAAUGGGCUAGGGCAUACACCAAUGUACCAAACCCUAUCAAACUCCGAAUACCUUAUAUGUAAUCACAGCAGUCAGGCGGCGAGUGAUAAAAUCCGUCGUCAAGAGGGAAACAACCCAGACUACCAGCUAAGGUCCCUAAAUCUUACUUAAGUGGAAAACGAUGUGAAGUUACUUAAACAACCAGGAGGUUGGCUUAGAAGCAGCCAUCCUUUAAAGAAAGCGUAAUAGCUCACUGGUCUAGUGAUUUUGCGCGGAAAAUAUAACGGGGCUAAAGUAAGUACCGAAGCUGUAGACUUGCGCACAACUUAGAUUAUUUAAGUUUAGAAUAUGAGAAACUAAGUUAUAUGUUUAGUUAUAUUUUUACUGAUUUUUAUAGAGUAAAGAUAGAAAUAAAACUUAGUAAAAUCAGUAAAAAUAUUCUUAGACUAAAGUUAAGUAGUUUAAGUUGUGUGCAAGUGGUAGGAGAGCGUUCUAUUUGCGUCGAAGGUAUACCGGUAAGGAGUGCUGGAGCGAAUAGAAGUGAGCAUGCAGGCAUGAGUAGCGAUAAUUAAUGUGAGAAUCAUUAACGCCGUAAACCCAAGGUUUCCUACGCGAUGCUCGUCAUCGUAGGGUUAGUCGGGUCCUAAGUCGAGUCCGAAAGGGGUAGACGAUGGCAAAUUGGUUAAUAUUCCAAUACCAACAUUAGUGUGCGAUGGAAGGACGCUUAGGGCUAAGGGGGCUAGCGGAUGGAAGUGCUAGUCUAAGGUCGUAGGAGGUU
Molecule: ribosomal RNA, 1654 nt
Filed under: Campylobacter coli
Lineage: Bacteria; Pseudomonadati; Campylobacterota; Epsilonproteobacteria; Campylobacterales; Campylobacteraceae
Description: partial 23S ribosomal RNA
Rfam family: Bacterial large subunit ribosomal RNA
Source: RNAcentral